UCUCGUAUGCUUCGGGUUUCUCGACUUACGAGCUGUACUUUUGACGAGUUCGUUGUCGUUGAAACCUGCAUGAUACAAGA
Molecule: microRNA precursor, 80 nt
Filed under: Folsomia candida
Lineage: Eukaryota; Metazoa; Arthropoda; Collembola; Entomobryomorpha; Isotomidae
Description: mir-981 microRNA precursor family
Rfam family: mir-981 microRNA precursor family
Source: Rfam by way of RNAcentral